Oncorhynchus masou masou (cherry salmon) is the source of this 278-nucleotide long non-coding RNA. RefSeq lists it as uncharacterized. NCBI's taxonomy places the organism in Eukaryota, Metazoa, Chordata, Actinopteri, Salmoniformes, Salmonidae. The record is from RefSeq and is a predicted model, not a curated record. The transcript is spliced from 3 exons.
GGUGGUUAGAACUGGAAGACGGAUGGAACCAGUUUCCUCGUUGAGAACACAACCAUGCAACAUAUGUAACCUGACACCAAAUUCUUGCUCUGGGACAGAUCAUGCUGUAUGUGGAUGGAAUGAACGGCCUCAUAAGUCACAACGAAACCGUCCAAUGGCUUUACACACUCGUUGGAUCCAAGUUCCGUCUGGUAGUGAAGACAGCUCUGAAACUGUUACUGGUGUUUGUGGAGUACACUGAACCCAACACUGCCCUGCUCAUCCAUGCUGUCAACACC